UUUUUUUUGAGAAUUUCCACUGAGCAAUUCUGAGAGAUAAAAAAAAAAUGCAACAAUCUAGCCAGUCUAUGCGUGGUCAGUUGUUAAAUUAAUUAAAUUAAUCCCUGAAAAUUCCAAAAAUCCAACUCAACUGAUUGAAACACAAGACCAUUUAUUUCAAAGAAACAAUUCAAAAGAAAUAACAUUGGGGACCAUUUUCUAAUGAUCGAAUGGUCUAAUUGAUGCACUUCAGUUUGAUGCCAUGAUCAGUUUUUAUGGCACCAUGUUGAAUGAAUUGCCUACCUGAUACAUUGCUUUCUAAUAAAUUUAUGAAGCCAAUCAAUAUAGGAAAAAACAGAAUGGCUUUAUAGGGAGAAAAGGCCAUAGUUGGAUUUAGCCAUCCAGUGACUCAUGCUUCAGAGUUCAGACAAAAAUAGUAUUAAGAUAUGGCAUCUAGAUGUUAACACUGGUCAAUUUUCAAAACCAACAGCACCAGGAGAUUCCUUCAACCAUAUAUAGCAAGUAGAAUUAACAGAUACCUCAAAAGAAGCAAGCUCAUCUG
RNAcentral lists this unclassified non-coding RNA (541 nucleotides) under Hevea brasiliensis (rubber tree). The record is from RNAcentral. Lineage: Eukaryota; Viridiplantae; Streptophyta; Magnoliopsida; Malpighiales; Euphorbiaceae.